ACAGAGAAGCCCUCCAGCUACAAAUGGCGCCCAACUGCUCGAGUUUCUGCCUUAAACCUGAGAAUGUUUAAUAACCAAUUCUAAACAGAGCCAAAAACAGGUUCCUGCUUCUUGUCUCAUACGGGCAGCUAGACACCGCAAAACACGGGUUUUAACACUGGCGGGUUCCUGGCGUUUGCUUUUGACCGGCAGUA
Peromyscus maniculatus bairdii (prairie deer mouse) is the source of this 194-nucleotide non-coding RNA. The record is from RefSeq and is a predicted model, not a curated record. Lineage: Eukaryota; Metazoa; Chordata; Mammalia; Rodentia; Cricetidae.